UAUUAAAUUAUAUAAUUUAAUAUAAUCAAUAUUUAAUUUAUUAUAAAAUUAAAUUAUAUAAUUUAAUAACAUGUCUCUACUCUUGCAUGAAAGGAAAAAAAUAAUGACCCCUACAUGAGAGGUGAACACCAUAUAUACGUCCAUGCAUGAACUUCAUAACAUUUUCUCAGCAUAAUGUUAUAAAAUAAGCACCAUUUUAUUUGUUUAUUUAUUUUCUACCCUCUCCUAUUCUCAAUUUAUUUUAAUGGAUCGAUUUACGAAUUAACAAUUGAAUAGCAGAUAUAUUGUAGCUUUAGACCUCUUGUCAGCAUUGGAAAUGAAAAGGAGUUAUAGGGUUUGUGAAAAACCAGGCAAAUCUUUUGAACUCUGUCGGAGCCAAAACAUUGAUAUGCAUGCAACAGAAUAAUGUAAUAAUGUAGACCAAGCAUGUGCGCACUGACGUCUGUUCGUGUUUACAGUCUUUAUAUUUUCUAAUUUUUUUUUUCAAUUCAAGUGUUUGUAUUUUGAAAUUUGGAGUGUUAUUGAUAGGCGUAAAGAGCUAGGCAAUAGGCAUAAGAUAAGAGUGCACUGUGACUUUGGCAACGUCUGGUGGUCGGGCAGACGUGUCAAUGGCUUUCAAAAUUAUAAUGAUUUCUCAUUUAUUUAUUUUUUUUGUCACGAGUGUGUUACAACUAUGGGAGAUACCUUUAAACCCGUACCACAACUUAGAUUAAUUCCCGUUCGUACCGGUUCGACCUGUAAGGGAUAAAAUGCUUACCAAAGUGGUGACUUCAUACAAGAGCGGUACUUGAACCCCUGACAUCUCUUAAAGAGUCAGAGUGCCGAACCACUCACACUAACCAACUUUAAUUAAUUUCUCAUUUAUUUUCAGUAUUGCCUCCGGUAAAUAAAUUUCUUUAUAUGGAAACUCUACUUAUCCCUCCAAUCGGGUUGUGCAUUAAUAAAUAUUUUUUUUUAUACAAACACACCAUUUAAUUAUGCGACUUAAUAAAAUUAAUAAAAAUAUAUUAUUAAAACACAUAAUUUAAGAGUAUAUUUACAUUAAUAAAAAAAAAAGACAUCAACGCCUGAAAAUAAUUAUAUAUAUACAUGCACGUUAUAUUCUGAUUCGGAAGUCCAAGAUUAAAGAUAACAAAUUGGUUCAAGAAGUCAACCAAAUUGCUCAAAGGAAUUUGCUUUUGCUGAAGGACCAAUUCCUCUUCUUCAAAAAAAGCUAGUAAAGAAUUAGUUGAUUUAUUCUAAUCUUUUCAAUGACAAGACAAUUUUUUUCAGAAAAGCAUUUCUGUUAAUGAUCGAAUAGAAGUUUUGACAUUCCUUAAAAAUUCUAUUCCUAAUAACAUUUUCUAUUCGACAGAAAGCUCGGCGAAAUGUUGAAGGCUGAGUUGCUCCAAAUUCACUAAAUAAUUGGUGAUCAUAUGAAUUGGGAUAUAAACUAAAUUAUUCAAAUAAAUAUUCUUGACGUAAAAUAUAUUGCCAAACUCUUCUAUUUUUUUAUUUUUUUUUCGUUUGGUGUUUAAAACACUUGGCGGUUUUAGUUUGGUAGCAUAGUUGCCAAAUAGUAGAACUUAAAAGAGCCCAAAUGAGCAGUUAGAUGUUAAUUAUAAUUGAUGAGUAGUUGAUUAAUAUCAACUGCCAAAUACAAAAUCAAAAACUAAGCAAUGAUAAACAUAGUGUCGAACUUUUCAGGGGAGGAGCUAAUUUCUUGCUCAGUUUUUCUUCAUUUCGCAUUCAAGUUUACGGUCCAAAGUUGACGGGUAUUUUUGCUUGAAAGUGGAGCUGCAGCUAGGCAAGAAACUGAUCUCAUGAAAAGAAAAAUGGACAUAAUUAUUUAGCAAGCUGGGAAAAACUAGUGAUUGUUGCCAUGUGAUACUCGUCUUUUAAUGUUAUUGAUGUAAUUGCCCUGGGGGUCCAUUUUCCCGCCAUGUUUGUUUGACUUCACGUUUAGAUGAUCCGCCUGUACCUCUUAAUUUUAAUUUCUUCUGCUAAUUAAGAUCUUGUGGGGGGAACGAAACAAGGAAAUAAAAAUAUUCUUUUGUUUUGUAUCUUGGAUUUUUUUGACAUUAUGAUAAGCUUUCUCCUCAAAAGCUGUGACUUGACUAAGCCAAAGCAUUACGGUUCCCUCAUCAUUUUCCUUUUUCUUUCUCUUCAAUGGUAAUUAAUAUUUGAGAAAGUAAAAGCAAAACCGAAAAGGCCAUGUUCUUCAAAGAGAAAAGCUUUCCAUACGGACCAUUGAUUGUACAAUCACUACCACACGAAUUCUUUUCAAUUUUAAUUUAUUUUUUAAAUCAUGAAAGGAGUCAAUUGUUGACCAUUAAUCUCUUUCAUUUUGCUUUUGGGACAAAAAAAAAAAAAUCAAACAAUCCAUACAAUUAGGGUUCGCAUACUUAAAAUUAUCGGCGCCAUUUAGAUAUAAUUUAGUCAAUCCAAUUAAAGACUUACUCGCAAGAAGUUAGUUGUAAGAUUAGAGUGGUUACUCAUAAUUUACUUCCAUCAGAAUUAAAGUUCCGAGUCUUUAUUGAUAUCUCUCUUUUAAAUAAAAAUAAAUUUUAUUAACUGAAAGUGCAUUAAGGUAGCGUUUACUUUUUGGAUUGAAGUGAGAAUCCUAUGAUUGGGAGUGUGGAGUGGGAGUGUGGAGUGAGAGUGGGAGUAGGUUGUUUACUUACACUGGAAUUGAAGCAUGAAAUGGAGAUCAGAAUCCAAUUUAUGUGUUUACUUUGUCUUGGAUUGGGAGUAAAUAGUUUCAAAUUAUAAUUUUAUCCUUAUUUAAAGAAUUAUAGUUUUUAAUUACAAAACUAAUAAAAAAUAUAUUUAAUGAAUAAAUUUUUUUUAUUAUAUUUGUAAAUUUAUAAUAAUUAUUAAUAUUCUUAAUUAUGAACAUCACAUUUUUUUAUUAAUUUUAAUUUUAAUAUAAAAUGAAACAUUAUUUUAUUUAAUAUGAUUAUAUUAAAUUUAAAUAUAAUUAUAUUAAAUUUAUUAUUAUAUAAAAUAAUAAUAUAAUAUUAUUUAGUACAAAAUUAAUAUUUUCUUAGAAAAAACUAUUUAUUAUUAUUAAUUAUUAAUAUUAAAUAAAUAUAGUACUAUUAUUUUUAAAAUAAAUAUAAUAAUAUUAUAUUUAUUAAUUAUCUAUUAAUAUAAUGAUAUUAUUUUUAAAUAAUUUUAACUUAGAAUCAAUGCAAAUUAUUAUUUAGUUAAAUAUAAUAAUAUUAUUCAAAUAAAUAUAAUAUUAUUUUUAUUUUAUUUUAUUAAUUAUAAAAUAUUAAAUUAAAUUAAAUUAUAAAAAAAAUAGAAAACAUUAAAUCCACUCCCACUCCCCACUCCAAAAAUAGGUGGGGCCUACGGAGUGAGAUUCCCAAUCCCUCCCCAAUUUAAUAAAGUAAGGUAGCGUUUACUUUUUGGAUUGGAUUAUGAAUACUGAGGAGUAGGAAUCCUAGGAUUGGGAGUGUGGAGUGGGAGUGGGAGUGGGAGUAGGUUGUUUACUUACACUGGAAUGGAAGCAUGGAUUAGAGAUCAGAAUCCAAUUUAUGUGUUUACUUUGUCUUGGAUUGGGAGUAAAUAGUUUCAAAUUACAAUUUUAUCCUUAUUUAAAGAAUU
RNAcentral lists this long non-coding RNA (3591 nucleotides) under Citrus x clementina. RNAcentral's name for it is "Citrus clementina (C. clementina) long non-coding RNA (CCLE_LNC003694)". The record is from RNAcentral. Lineage: Eukaryota; Viridiplantae; Streptophyta; Magnoliopsida; Sapindales; Rutaceae.